CACCCCAGUUACCGGACCUGCCUUCGGCGGCUCCCUCUUCUCAGUUGGGUCACCGACUUCGGGCAUUUCCGACUCCCAUGGUGUGACGGGCGGUGUGUACAAGACCCGGGAACGUAUUCACCGCGGCAUUCUGAUCCGCGAUUACUAGCGAUUCCGGCUUCAUGCAGCCGAGUUGCAGGCUGCAAUCCGAACUGAGGCGUUAUUUUUGGGCUUUGCUUAACAUCGCUGUCUCGCUUCCCUCUGUUUACGCCAUUGUAGCACGUGUGUAGCCCUGGCCAUAAGGGGCAUGAUGAUUUGACGUCAUCCCCGCCUUCCUCCUGGUUAUCCCAGGCUGUCCCAUCAGAGUGCCCAGCUUUACCUGCUGGCUACUGACGGCAGGGGUUGCGCUCGUUGCGGGACUUAACCCAACAUCUCACGACACGAGCUGACGACAACCAUGCACCACCUGUCUCCAAUGCCCCGAAGGGCGGCAGACAUUACUCUGCUUUCAUCGGGAUG
Molecule: ribosomal RNA, 498 nt
Filed under: uncultured bacterium
Lineage: Bacteria
Description: partial 16S ribosomal RNA
Source: RNAcentral